This 305-nucleotide ribosomal RNA is filed under the name uncultured bacterium. RNAcentral describes it as "bacterial SSU rRNA". It matches the Rfam family "Bacterial small subunit ribosomal RNA", at positions 338 to 635 of the family's 1533-position model. The record is from RNAcentral.
CCUACGGGAGGCAGCAGUUAGGAAUAUUCGUCAAUGGGGGAAACCCUGAACGAGCAAUGCCGCGUGAACGAUGACGGUCCUCUGGAUUGUAAAGUUCUGUUGUUUGGGAAGAACGGCUCUAAUAGGAAAUGAUUAGAGAUUGACUGUACCAUUCAAGAAAGCCACGGCUAACUACGUGCCAGCAGCCGCGGUAAUACGUAGGUGGCGAGCGUUAUCCGGAUUUAUUGGGCGUAAAGCGUCCGCAGCCGGUUUAUUAAGUAUAGAAUAAAACUUCGGGGCUCAACCCCGUCUCGUUCUAUAAACUG